GGGUUGUGAGGUUAAGCGACUAAGCGUACACGGUGGAUGCCCUGGCAGUCAGAGGCGAUGAAGGGCGUGCUAAUCUGCGAUAAGCGCCGGUAAGGUGAUAUGAACCGUUAUAACCGGCGAUACCCGAAUGGGGAAACCCAGUGUGACUCGUCACACUAUCAUUAACUGAAUCCAUAGGUUAAUGAGGCGAACCGGGGGAACUGAAACAUCUAAGUACCCCGAGGAAAAGAAAUCAACCGAGAUUCCCCCAGUAGCGGCGAGCGAACGGGGAGGAGCCCAGAGCCUGAAUCAGCAUGUGUGUUAGUGGAAGCGUCUGGAAAGGCGCGCGAUACAGGGUGACAGCCCCGUACACAAAAGCGCACAUGCUGUGAGCUCGAUGAGUAGGGCGGGACACGUGGUAUCCUGUCUGAAUAUGGGGGGACCAUCCUCCAAGGCUAAAUACUCCUGACUGACCGAUAGUGAACCAGUACCGUGAGGGAAAGGCGAAAAGAACCCCGGCGAGGGGAGUGAAAAAGAACCUGAAACCGUGUACGUACAAGCAGUGGGAGCCCCACCACCAAAGCAUUCUCUGGUGUUGAAGGCCCUGCAAAGCAGCAUCGCGGUGGCGGAGCGUCGUUUGCGACGCCCAACACACAAAACAAGCGGUGAGUGCUUUGGGGUGGGGUGACUGCGUACCUUUUGUAUAAUGGGUCAGCGACUUAUAUUCUGUAGCAAGGUUAACCGAAUAGGGGAGCCGGAGGGAAACCGAGUCUUAAU
RNAcentral lists this ribosomal RNA (756 nucleotides) under Salmonella enterica. RNAcentral's name for it is "partial 23S ribosomal RNA". It matches the Rfam family "Bacterial large subunit ribosomal RNA", at positions 1 to 688 of the family's 2925-position model. RNAcentral also lists the same sequence under 1 other name. Lineage: Bacteria; Pseudomonadati; Pseudomonadota; Gammaproteobacteria; Enterobacterales; Enterobacteriaceae. The record is from RNAcentral.